AGAGUUUGAUCCUGGCUCAGGAUGAACGCUAGCGGCAGGCCUAACACAUGCAAGUCGAGUGGUAAUCCCGCUUUCGGGCGGGAACGACCGGCGCACGGGUGAGUAACGCGUAUGCAACCUACCUUUAACUGGGGGAUAGCCCGAAGAAAUUCGGAUUAAUACCCCAUAUAACUAUAGAUAAGCAUUUAUUUAUAUUAAAAACUCCGGUGGUUAAAGAUGGGCAUGCGUAACAUUAGUUAGUUGGUGAGGUAACGGCUCACCAAGACUACGAUGUUUAGGGGGCCUGAGAGGGUGGUCCCCCACACUGGUACUGAGACACGGACCAGACUCCUACGGGAGGCAGCAGUGAGGAAUAUUGCGCAAUGGAGGCAACUCUGACGCAGCCAUGCCGCGUGCAGGAUGACGGCCCUACGGGUUGUAAACUGCUUUUAUACAGGAAGAACUUUCCGCACGUGUGCGGGAUUGACGGUACUGUACGAAUAAGCACCGGCUAACUCCGUGCCAGCAGCCGCGGUAAUACGGAGGGUGCAAGCGUUAUCCGGAUUUAUUGGGUUUAAAGGGUGCGUAGGCGGGAUAAUAAGUCAGUGGUGAAAUACUGCAGCUCAACUGUAGAACUGCCAUUGAUACUGUUAUUCUUGAGUUCGAUUGAGGUAGGCGGAAUGUGUAAUGUAGCGGUGAAAUGCUUAGAUAUUACACAGAACACCGAUUGCGUAGGCAGCUUACUAAGUCGACACUGACGCUGAGGCACGAAAGCGUGGGGAGCGAACAGGAUUAGAUACCCUGGUAGUCCACGCUGUAAACUAUGAUCACUAGCUGUUGGCGAUACAUCGAUCAGCGGCAAAGCGAAAGCAUUAAGUCAUCCACCUGAGGAGUACGGUCGCAAGAUUAAAACUCAAAUUGACGGGGGCCCGCACAAGCGGUGGAACAUGUGGUUUAAUUCGAUGAUACGCGAGGAACCUUACCUGGGCUUAAAUGCAGAUUGACGUUUCGGGAAACCGGAAUUCUCUUCGGAGCGAUUUGCAAGGUGCUGCAUGGUUGUCGUCAGCUCGUGCCGUGAGGUGUCGGGUUAAGUCCCAUAACGAGCGCAACCCCUAUCGUUAGUUGCCAGCGGAUAAUGCCGGGGACUCUAACGAAACUGCCGGUGUAAACCGAGAGGAAGGUGGGGAUGACGUCAAAUCAGCACGGCCCUUAUGUCCAGGGCUACACACGUGUUACAAUGGUCGGUACAUAGGGCAGCUACCUGGUGACAGGAUGCUAAUCUCGAAAGCCGGUCUUAGUUCGGAUCGAAGUCUGCAACUCGACUUCGUGAAGCUGGAAUCGCUAGUAAUCGCGUAUCAGCAACGACGCGGUGAAUACGUUCCCGGGCCUUGUACACACCGCCCGUCAAGCCAUGGAAGCUGGGGGUACCUGAAGUCUGUAACCGCAAGGAGCGGCCUAGGGUAAAACUAGUGACUGGGGCUAAGUCGUAACAAGGUA
RNAcentral lists this ribosomal RNA (1476 nucleotides) under metagenome. RNAcentral describes it as "bacterial SSU rRNA". It matches the Rfam family "Bacterial small subunit ribosomal RNA". The record is from RNAcentral.